CCAGCCACACUGGAACUGAGACACGGUCCAGACUCCUACGGGAGGCAGCAGUGGGGAAUAUUGCACAAUGGGCGCAAGCCUGAUGCAGCCAUGCCGCGUGUAUGAAGAAGGCCUUCGGGUUGUAAAGUACUUUCAGCGGGGAGGAAGGGAGUAAAGUUAAUACCUUUGCUCAUUGACGUUACCCGCAGAAGAAGCACCGGCUAACUCCGUGCCAGCAGCCGCGGUAAUACGGAGGGUGCAAGCGUUAAUCGGAAUUACUGGGCGUAAAGCGCACGCAGGCGGUUUGUUAAGUCAGAUGUGAAAUCCCCGGGCUCAACCUGGGAACUGCAUCUGAUACUGGCAAGCUUGAGUCUCGUAGAGGGGGGUAGAAUUCCAGGUGUAGCGGUGAAAUGCGUAGAGAUCUGGAGGAAUACCGGUGGCGAAGGCGGCCCCCUGGACGAAGACUGACGCUCAGGUGCGAAAGCGUGGG
RNAcentral lists this ribosomal RNA (469 nucleotides) under Escherichia coli. RNAcentral's name for it is "bacterial SSU rRNA". It matches the Rfam family "Bacterial small subunit ribosomal RNA", at positions 304 to 765 of the family's 1533-position model. Lineage: Bacteria; Pseudomonadati; Pseudomonadota; Gammaproteobacteria; Enterobacterales; Enterobacteriaceae. The record is from RNAcentral.